GGUCAAGUGAAGAAGCGCAUACGGUGGAUGCCUUGGCAGUCAGAGGCGAUGAAAGACGUGGUAGCCUGCGAUAAGCUUCGGGGAGUCGGCAAACAGACUUUGAUCCGGAGAUCUCUGAAUGGGGGAACCCACCUGGCAUAAGUCAGGUAUCUUGUACUGAAUACAUAGGUGCAAGAGGCGAACCAGGGGAACUGAAACAUCUAAGUACCCUGAGGAAAAGAAAUCAACCGAGAUUCCCUUAGUAGUGGCGAGCGAACGGGGACUAGCCCUUAAGUGGCUUUGAGAUUAGCGGAACGCUCUGGAAAGUGCGGCCAUAGUGGGUGAUAGCCCUGUACGCGAAAAUCUCUUAGUCAUGAAAUCGAGUAGGACGGAGCACGAGAAACUUUGUCUGAAUAUGGGGGGACCAUCCUCCAAGGCUAAAUACUACUGACUGACCGAUAGUGAACCAGUACCGUGAGGGAAAGGCGAAAAGAACCCCGGAGAGGGGAGUGAAAUAGAUCCUGAAACCGUAUGCGUACAAGCAGUGGGAGCCUACUUUGUUAGGUGACUGCGUACCUUUUGUAUAAUGGGUCAGCGACUUAUAUUCAGUGGCGAGCUUAACCGAAUAGGGGAGGCGUAGCGAAAGCGAGUCUUAAUAGGGCGUUUAGUCGCUGGGUAUAGACCCGAAACCGGGCGAUUUAUCCAUGGGCAGGUUGAAGGUUAGGUAACACUGACUGGAGGACCGAACCGACUACCGUUGAAAAGUUAGCGGAUGACCUGUGGAUCGGAGUGAAAGGCUAAUCAAGCUCGGAGAUAGCUGGUUCUCCUCGAAAGCUAUUUAGGUAGCGCCUCAUGUAUCACUGUAGGGGGUAGAGCACUGUUUCGGCUAGGGGGUCAUCCCGACUUACCAAACCGAUGCAAACUCCGAAUACCUACAAGUGCCGAGCAUGGGAGACACACGGCGGGUGCUAACGUCCGUCGUGAAAAGGGAAACAACCCAGACCGUCAGCUAAGGUCCCAAAGUUAUGGUUAAGUGGGAAACGAUGUGGGAAGGCUUAGACAGCUAGGAGGUUGGCUUAGAAGCAGCCACCCUUUAAAGAAAGCGUAAUAGCUCACUAGUCGAGUCGGCCUGCGCGGAAGAUGUAACGGGGCUCAAACCAUACACCGAAGCUACGGGUAUCACUUAGGUGAUGCGGUAGAGGAGCGUUCUGUAAGCCUGUGAAGGUGAGUUGAGAAGCUUGCUGGAGGUAUCAGAAGUGCGAAUGCUGACAUGAGUAACGACAAUGGGAGUGAAAAACUCCCACGCCGAAAGACCAAGGUUUCCUGCGCAACGUUAAUCGACGCAGGGUUAGUCGGUCCCUAAGGCGAGGCUGAAAAGCGUAGUCGAUGGAAAACAGGUUAAUAUUCCUGUACUUCUGGUUAUUGCGAUGGAGGGACGGAGAAGGCUAGGCCAGCUUGGCGUUGGUUGUCCAAGUUUAAGGUGGUAGGCUGAGAUCUUAGGUAAAUCCGGGAUCUUAAGGCCGAGAGCUGAUGACGAGUUGCCAUUAGGCGACGAAGUGGUUGAUGCCAUGCUUCCAAGAAAAGCUUCUAAGCUUCAGGUAACCAGGAACCGUACCCCAAACCGACACAGGUGGUUGGGUAGAGAAUACCAAGGCGCUUGAGAGAACUCGGGUGAAGGAACUAGGCAAAAUGGCACCGUAACUUCGGGAGAAGGUGCGCCGGUGAGGGUGAAGGACUUGCUCCGUAAGCUCAUGCCGGUCGAAGAUACCAGGCCGCUGCGACUGUUUAUUAAAAACACAGCACUCUGCAAACACGAAAGUGGACGUAUAGGGUGUGACGCCUGCCCGGUGCCGGAAGGUUAAUUGAUGGGGUUAGCUAACGCGAAGCUCUUGAUCGAAGCCCCGGUAAACGGCGGCCGUAACUAUAACGGUCCUAAGGUAGCGAAAUUCCUUGUCGGGUAAGUUCCGACCUGCACGAAUGGCGUAACGAUGGCGGCGCUGUCUCCACCCGAGACUCAGUGAAAUUGAAAUCGCUGUGAAGAUGCAGUGUAUCCGCGGCUAGACGGAAAGACCCCGUGAACCUUUACUAUAGCUUUGCACUGGACUUUGAAUUUGCUUGUGUAGGAUAGGUGGGAGGCUUUGAAGCGUGGACGCCAGUCUGCGUGGAGCCAUCCUUGAAAUACCACCCUGGCAACUUUGAGGUUCUAACUCAGGUCCGUUAUCCGGAUCGAGGACAGUGUAUGGUGGGUAGUUUGACUGGGGCGGUCUCCUCCUAAAGAGUAACGGAGGAGUACGAAGGUGCGCUCAGACCGGUCGGAAAUCGGUCGUAGAGUAUAAAGGCAAAAGCGCGCUUGACUGCGAGACAGACACGUCGAGCAGGUACGAAAGUAGGUCUUAGUGAUCCGGUGGUUCUGUAUGGAAGGGCCAUCGCUCAACGGAUAAAAGGUACUCCGGGGAUAACAGGCUGAUACCGCCCAAGAGUUCAUAUCGACGGCGGUGUUUGGCACCUCGAUGUCGGCUCAUCACAUCCUGGGGCUGAAGCCGGUCCCAAGGGUAUGGCUGUUCGCCAUUUAAAGUGGUACGCGAGCUGGGUUUAGAACGUCGUGAGACAGUUCGGUCCCUAUCUGCCGUGGACGUUUGAGAUUUGAGAGGGGCUGCUCCUAGUACGAGAGGACCGGAGUGGACGAACCUCUGGUGUUCCGGUUGUCACGCCAGUGGCAUUGCCGGGUAGCUAUGUUCGGAAGAGAUAACCGCUGAAAGCAUCUAAGCGGGAAACUUGCCUCAAGAUGAGAUCUCACUGGAGCCUUGAGCUCCCUGAAGGGCCGUCGAAGACUACGACGUUGAUAGGUUGGGUGUGUAAGCGCUGUGAGGCGUUGAGCUAACCAAUACUAAUUGCCCGUGAGGCUUGACCAU
RNAcentral lists this ribosomal RNA (2891 nucleotides) under Pseudomonas sp. B21-036. Its description in RNAcentral is "23S ribosomal RNA". It matches the Rfam family "Bacterial large subunit ribosomal RNA". Lineage: Bacteria; Pseudomonadati; Pseudomonadota; Gammaproteobacteria; Pseudomonadales; Pseudomonadaceae. The record is from RNAcentral.